UUUAUUGAACAAAGCCCUGAAAAAAGUCCGGAAGACAGUCAUUCGAGUCCAGAAAAAAGUCCGGAAAAAGUGGAGGGAAGAAGUCCUGAAAAAAAAAAACGUUUGAUGCAACAACAAUGGAGGCCUGUUAAACGUGCGAAAAUAUCGCCAAAGAAACCUUUGCGAAGUGUGCGAAUGCAACUGGCAUCAAGGCGGUUUAGUCCAAAAAAAAGUCCAAAGAAGAAAAUAUAUUUUUUGGCAAAAGAGACAG
RNAcentral lists this long non-coding RNA (250 nucleotides) under Dendronephthya gigantea. RNAcentral describes it as "uncharacterized LOC114533699". Lineage: Eukaryota; Metazoa; Cnidaria; Anthozoa; Malacalcyonacea; Nephtheidae. The record is from RNAcentral.